This 500-nucleotide ribosomal RNA is filed under the name uncultured bacterium. RNAcentral describes it as "partial 16S ribosomal RNA". It matches the Rfam family "Bacterial small subunit ribosomal RNA", at positions 30 to 523 of the family's 1533-position model. The record is from RNAcentral.
AUUGAACGCUGGCGGCAUGCCUUACACAUGCAAGUCGAACGGCAGCACGGGAGCAAUCCUGGUGGCGAGUGGCGAACGGGUGAGUAAUGUAUCGGAACGUGCCCAGUCGUGGGGGAUAACGUAGCGAAAGCUACGCUAAUACCGCAUACGAUCUGUGGAUGAAAGCGGGGGACCGUAAGGCCUCGCGCGAUUGGAGCGGCCGAUAUCAGAUUAGGUAGUUGGUGGGGUAAAGGCCUACCAAGCCGACGAUCUGUAGCUGGUCUGAGAGGACGACCAGCCACACUGGGACUGAGACACGGCGCAGACUCCUACGGGAGGCAGCAGUGGGGAAUUUUGGACAAUGGGCGCAAGCCUGAUCCAGCAAUGCCGCGUGCAGGAUGAAGGCCUUCGGGUUGUAAACUGCUUUUGUACGGAACGAAACGGCGAGCUCUAAUACAGUUUGCUAAUGACGGUACCGUAAGAAUAAGCACCGGCUAACUACGUGCCAGCCGCCGCCGUAA